CGUAGGUGGCAAGCGUUGUCCGGAUUUAUUGGGUUUAAAGGGUGCGUAGGCGGCUUUGUAAGUCAGUGGUGAAAUACUCCAGCUCAACUGGAGAGGUGCCAUUGAUACUGCAGAGCUAGAGUACUGAUGAGGUAGGCGGAAUGGACGGUGUAGCGGUGAAAUGCUUAGAUAUCGUCCAGAACACCGAUAGCGAAGGCAGCUUACUAAAGAGUAACUGACGCUGAGGCACGAAAGUGUGGGGAUCAAACAGGAUUAGAUACCCUGGUAGUCCACACUGUAAACGUUGAUCACUAGAUGUUGGCGAUACACUGCCAGCGUUCCAGCAAAAGCGAUAAGUGAUCCACCUGGGGAGUACGCCCGCAAGGGUAG
RNAcentral lists this ribosomal RNA (369 nucleotides) under uncultured organism. Its description in RNAcentral is "bacterial SSU rRNA". It matches the Rfam family "Bacterial small subunit ribosomal RNA", at positions 526 to 897 of the family's 1533-position model. The record is from RNAcentral.